Molecule: non-coding RNA, 2265 nt
Organism: Cyanistes caeruleus (blue tit)
Lineage: Eukaryota; Metazoa; Chordata; Aves; Passeriformes; Paridae
Source: RefSeq, a predicted model, not a curated record
UUGCUGAGGUCUCAGUUUCAGCUGCAACUCCAAGCAUCCCUUCUCCUUUGCGUGCUUUAGGCGGUCCAGGCACCUUUUACCGAGACCCCCUCGCCGACUGGCCGGCAGGCCUGGUUCGCCGCUCCCGUGAGCCCUGCGGAAGCGUUAAGGGACCGCGUGCUGAAGCCUUGGCGUUUUCCACGUGACGGUGCCAUCCGGGCAGCCUUUAGCAACAGCCGAGGGGUUGCCGUGAGUUGGGGAUGUCGGGAGGAGGAGCGAGGGCCCGCUCGAGUUUCGGCAGUGACAGAUCACCUUGUCUCCUCCUAACGCAGGCGUGCCCCGCGAUGAUGGCAUCUGGCUCCGGGCGUGGCCGAAGCGUGCGGCCCUGGGAUGCGGGCGUUCUCGAGAGACCGUGAGUAGCAGACUUGUCAGGGUUUGCCCGAUGUUCUGCUAAGAUCCUGGGAUGAUGUUCUGUUCUUUUUCGUGUAGCUCAUCAAGAGACAGCAGCAUGGUGACGGCAGGAACUGGGCAGACGACGAGACGGCAUUCCUUGGCAGCCCGUGUGGACUCUCACCCCCCGGGCGUCCGAGAGCUAACUCAAAGGCUACGAUCCGCAGAGGGGGGAUGGAAGCGGGGUGCCGGGCUGGGACUCGUGGCCAGGAAGUUUUGAGUCUGCUUUGGACGUAGCGAGGUUCAAGAAGUGGCCCUUUAGGCCACCUCAAGGGAAAGCCUCACUUUGGCUCCCAAUGCUGAGGUGCACAGGGCAGAGCGGUCCGGGGAUGUGUCGGGUCACUUGUCUGUCGUGCCUUUUGUGCACCUCGUGUCGUAUGUGUCUUGCCUCAGCCCUUCCAGGAGGUUACAGGAAACCCUGGCGUCACUCUUAACAUCUCUGAUCUCUUGGUUCCUCGGCCUGGCGCUGACACUGUCAGAGCUGUGCCUCGGGACCUCUCAGAGGCCUUGGAAUCCCAUCUCUGUUUUUAAGCAUCCGAUCGGGUGUCUUUUGAGGUCUUGUUCUGAGCUGUGUCCACAGCCGUGCGCCGCAAGGAUCCAUUGUAGCGGGCUAGGACUUGUCCGAAUGCAAGGACAGCCAGAGAAUUGUGGCCGUAGGAUUCUCGGGCAUCCGUAUUUGCGCUUCUCGGGAUAAGUCAUCGUGUCAGCAUCUUCUUUCUUCAGGGUUGUCUCGGCCUUAUCAGCUCGCCAUCAUUCUCACCUGGGCCAUCUUGUUCCGCAUUCUCUCCGUCCUUGCGGCCAUUCUUCUGGCCCGGAGUUUUGUCUCCCUGUUGUGUCCCCUUGUCUGUUGUCUUGUGUGUCACGGGUGUCUGGGUGUAUUUGGGUCGGAGCUGCUCUGCCCUGCUGCAGAGGCUGGCUGGCCUAUGGUCAGCUGCCUUGGGAGAGGCUUCAGAUUAAACCAACUGCUGAAUGAUUUAAUUAGUCUGGUACCUACGGCUUCUGAUCAUUUGCUUUGUACAAAUGCAUUUCAACAGUUUGCUGUGCUGUAAGCAUCUCAUAGCUGCUACUCUUGAGAACCUUGUUUUAGAAAUUAGUUAAAAGGCAUCUUUCCAGUUUAAAGCCUAGGCUAUGUCCAAGCCUUGACUUUACCUGGAUAGAGAAUUUACCAAUAAACCCAGAAGUUUUCUGCAUCGAAACAAUAUUCAGGUCAAUCUGACUUGGCAAUUAGUGAAUUAAUAUAGCAGCUGGAUUUUACAGUGGGCUUGGAAAAUUGUUAUCCGGACAUGAUUUUCCAAUCUUCCAUUGAUUUAUCAGCUGUGGCAAACUCUGGGAUGGGAGUAUAUAUUUAGAAUAUUCAGUAAUUCAUAUUACAGAUAAUUUAGAUAAGUUUAGUAUCGCAUAAUAUCAAUUAUGCAUCUUUUUAAUAAGUUUUUGAUUUCUGUAAAAAUGUUAUUUCCUAUAUGUAUACAUAUGCGUGUUUUACUUUGAUGGUUUUUCGUUGUCAGAACAAGACAGCAGAUAUUUUACCUUUGUUUACAAGAGAGGGGGAGGAAACAGAGGUUGCAGUUCAGAAGCAUGGAAACAUGAUGUUCAAAACAGAAGUAACUUCCUAGCGAAGAACAUGGAAAUUCAUCAGCUGCAGAGACAAACAGACAGCCCAAAGAGCAGAAGAGCGAGCACGCAGAUGUGAACCGUAUCAAAACCACAGCUGACAGCUGAACAACUUUGAUCCCACAUGCCAGAGCAAUGAACUUUGUGUUUCAUGUGAAAGAGUGGGAAAAUUGAUAUUGUAAAACCUCACUUGUUAAAUAAAGCAUGGUGUGAACUGUGUCAAGA